RNAcentral lists this ribosomal RNA (562 nucleotides) under uncultured bacterium. RNAcentral's name for it is "partial 16S ribosomal RNA". It matches the Rfam family "Bacterial small subunit ribosomal RNA", at positions 338 to 916 of the family's 1533-position model. The record is from RNAcentral.
CCUACGGGAGGCAGCAGUGGGGAAUUUUGCGCAAUGGGGGAAACCUUGACGCAGCGACGCCGCGUGAGUGAUGAAGGCCUUCGGGUUGUAAAGCUCUGUUGGGGGGGAAGAUAGUGACGGUACCCCCUGAGGAAGCCCCGGCUAACUACGUGCCAGCAGCCGCGGUAAGACGUAGGGGGCGAGCGUUGUCCGGAAUUACUGGGCGUAAAGGGCGUGUAGGCGGCCUUUCAAGUCGGCUGUGAAAUUCCCCGGCUUAACCGGGGGGGUGCAGUCGAAACUGGGGGGCUUGAGUACAGGAGAGGGUGGUGGAAUUCCCGGUGGAGCGGUGACAUGCGUAGAUAUCGGGAGGAACACCGGUGGCGAAGGCGACCUCCUGGCCUGUUACUGACGCUGAGGCGCGAAAGCCGGGGGAGCAAACAGGAUUAGAUACCCUGGUAGUCCCGGCCGUAAACUCUGGGUACUAGGUGUAGGGGGCUUCGAUGCCUUCUGUGCCGUAGUUAACGCAUUAAGUACCCCGCCUGGGGAGUACGAUCGCAAGGUUGAAACUCAAAUGAAUUGACGG